This 273-nucleotide ribosomal RNA is filed under the name uncultured bacterium. RNAcentral describes it as "partial 16S ribosomal RNA". It matches the Rfam family "Bacterial small subunit ribosomal RNA", at positions 524 to 796 of the family's 1533-position model. The record is from RNAcentral.
AACGUAGGACGCGAGCGUUAUCCGGAGUGACUGGGCGUAAAGGGCGUGCAGGCGGGGUCGCAAGUGGCUCGUGAAAGCGCCCGGCUCAACCGGGCGAGGUCGGGUCAGACUGCGGCGCUGGAGGGCGCUAGAGGGACACGGAAUUCCGGGUGUAGUGGUGAAAUGCGUAGAGAUCCGGAGGAACACCAGUGGCGCAGGCGGUGUUCUGGGGCGCACCUGACGCUGAGACGCGAAAGCAUGGGGAGCGAACGGGAUUAGAAACCCCCGUAGUCC